GGGGAAUUUUCUGCAAUGGGCGAAAGCCUGACAGAGCAAUACCGCGUGAGGGAUGAAGACUUACUGAGUUGUAAACCUCGGUACCUUAAGGAAGAAGAUCUGACGGUACUUAAGGUGGAAAGCAUCGGCUAACUCCGUGCCAGCAGCCGCGGUAAGACGGGGGAUGCAAGUGUUAUCCGGAUUUACUGGGCGUAAAGCGUCUGCAGGUGGUUUCUUAAGUCUACUGUUAAAUCUUGAGGCUCAACCUCAAAUCUGCAGUAGAAACUAGGAGACUUGAGUAUAGUAGGGGUAGAGGGAAUUUCCAGUGGAGCGGUGAAAUGCGUAGAUAUUGGAAAGAACACCGAUGGCGAAGGCACUCUACUGGGCUAUUACUGACACUCAGAGACGAAAGCUAGGGGAGCWAAUGGGAUUAGAUACCCCAGUAGUC
This 427-nucleotide ribosomal RNA is filed under the name uncultured Eustigmatophyceae. Its description in RNAcentral is "bacterial SSU rRNA". It matches the Rfam family "Bacterial small subunit ribosomal RNA", at positions 356 to 795 of the family's 1533-position model. The record is from RNAcentral. Lineage: Eukaryota; Eustigmatophyceae.